UGAAUACGAGACGCUAAGGCGUCGAAGUAGUGUAUGUCAUACUUCCAAGAAAAGCUUGCACUGUCAUAGAUAAAAAACGCCUGUACCAUAACCGACACAGGUGGGUAGGUAGAGUAUACUAAGGGGCGCGAGAUAACUCUCUCUAAGGAACUCGGCAAAAUAACUCCGUAACUUCGGGAGAAGGAGUGCCUUAUUCGUAAGGUUGCAAUAACAAGAUCCAAGCAACUGUUUAUCAAAAACACAGGUCUCCGCUAAGUCGUAAGACGAUGUAUGGGGGCUGACGCCUGCCCAGUGCCAGAAGGUUAAAGAAGUUGGUUAGCAAUUGCGAAGCUGAUAACUGAAGCCCUGGUGAACGGCGGCCGUAACGAUAACGGUCCUAAGGUAGCGAAAUUCCUUGUCGGGUAAGUUCCGACCCGCACGAAAGGCGUAAUGAUUUGGAUACUGUCUCGGAGAGGGGCUCGGUGAAAUAGACUUGUCUGUGAAGAUGCGGACUACCUGCACCAGGACAGAAAGACCCUAUGAAGCUUUACUGUAACUUGAAAUUGAAAUUGGACUUUAUUCGCGCAGUAUAGGUGGGAGGCGUUGAUUAUAAUCUUGUGGGAUUAUUGGAGCCAUCAGUGAGAUACCACUCUUGUAAUGUUAGAUUUCUAACUUUGAAUCAUUAUCUGGUCAAAGAACAGUUUCAGGCGGGCAGUUUGACUGGGGCGGUCGCCUCCUAAACGGUAACGGAGGCGUACAAAGGUUUCCUCUGAACGGUUAGAAAUCGUAUCUAGAGUGUAAAGGCAUAAGGAAGCUUGACUGUGAGACCUACAAGUCGAGCAGGGACGAAAGUCGGUCUUAGUGAUCUGACGGUACUGAGUGGAAAGGCCGUCACUCAACGGAUAAAAGUUACUCUAGGAUAACAGGCUGAUCUCCCCCAAGAGUUCACAUCGACGGGGAGGUUUGGCACCUCGAUGUCGGCUCAUCGCAUCCUGGGGCGGUAGUACGUCCCAAGGGUUGGGCUGUUCGCCCAUGAAAGCGGUACGCGAGCUGGGUUCAGAACGUCGUGAGACAGUUCGGUCCAUAUCCGGUGUAGGCGUUAGAAUAUUGAGAGGAGCCUUCUUUAGUACGAGAGGACCGAGAAGGACAUACCUCUGGUGUACCAGUUAUCGUGCCAACGGUAAACGCUGGGUAGCUAUGUAUGGAGUGGAUAACCGCUGAAAGCAUCUAAGUGGGAAGCCCACCUCAAGAUAAGUAUUCUCAU
Molecule: ribosomal RNA, 1243 nt
Filed under: metagenome
Description: bacterial LSU rRNA
Rfam family: Bacterial large subunit ribosomal RNA
Source: RNAcentral